RNAcentral lists this transfer RNA (82 nucleotides) under Eubacteriales bacterium. RNAcentral describes it as "tRNA-Tyr". It matches the Rfam family "tRNA". From Rfam's summary of the family: Transfer RNA (tRNA) molecules are approximately 80 nucleotides in length. Their secondary structure includes four short double-helical elements and three loops (D, anti-codon, and T loops). Lineage: Bacteria; Bacillati; Bacillota; Clostridia; Eubacteriales. The record is from RNAcentral.
GGAUGGAUUCCCGAGUGGCCAAAGGGGGCAGACUGUAAAUCUGUUGCAAGUUGCUUCGGAGGUUCGAAUCCUCCUCCAUCCA